GCCGUAGUGGCCGAGUGGUUAAGGCGGCAGAUUUAAGCAUACUUCCAACCAAGUCUUUUAAACUCUGCUACAGUAAUGUGCAUGCGUUCGAACCGCAUCUACGGCA
This is a transfer RNA of Macrophomina phaseolina MS6, 106 nucleotides long. It matches the Rfam family "tRNA". Rfam says of the family: Transfer RNA (tRNA) molecules are approximately 80 nucleotides in length. The record is from Rfam. NCBI's taxonomy places the organism in Eukaryota, Fungi, Ascomycota, Dothideomycetes, Botryosphaeriales, Botryosphaeriaceae.